AACACAACUUUUUUUUUUCUUGGCAACUUCAAAUAUCACCCCAGUGUUCCUGCACUUUUUAUUUUAGAUUCUAUAAUUUAAAUUAUAUCAAUUUAGUAUUCCAUAAUUUUAUUUUUCUCGUUUUGUCAGCGCUUCCGUUAGCAUUUCGUUAAAUUAUAUACAAAAAAAACUUUAGAUAUCCCACUUAUGUUUAUCGAAAAUUCACUUUAUUAUCUUUUAGUUUUAACUUUGUUACUGCUGAUUUAACGAAAAAAUUAAUAAAAGGGAUAAUAAAAAGAAAUAAAUAAAAUCAAGCGUACUAAAUCGAUACACUUUAAACCACCAAAGUGAGAAAGUUCGAACCCACACCGUGGUAUUUGAAGUUGUCCUUUUUUUUUUUUUUUUUCCCCAAGAGAAAAUUAUUUUGGGUUUUGCAUGGUAGCAUGAUUAGCACCCUGCUAGGUAGUUGAUCAGUUGGUAAGUUUAGGUUAAUCUCUCAUAUGGCUCCCUAUAAAUAUAUCAAAUAGUAAAUAUAUUUUUAUAAAGUUUAACUUCUUAUAUUUACUUCUGUAAAAGUUAAAUGAUAUUUAUAUUUAUCCCUUCAAUUUAUAAUUACCAUUAUAAUACUAUUUAUUUUUUAAUAAAAAAAUAAAAUAAAAUUUUUGCCAUUAUAAAUACGUCUUUCCAAAAGCUCCCAACGUUUAGAAUUGUGCAGAAGUUUUCUAAAAAUUUCAAAUAUUCAUCUUUUUUUUUUCUAUGAUCACAAAUAAUAUAAAAAGAAUAAAAAGGUCUAUUUACCUCAUUAACUAAUCAGGAUUUAGUAUUUUAUUUAUUGUUAAUUGUAUUUUUCUAACGGAUCCUAACAGUAGGGGUAUAUUUGAAAAGUAGUAUACUUGAAAAGUUAAAUUUUAUAUAAAUAUAUUUACAGAGAACUGUAUGUAAUUAA
This 925-nucleotide long non-coding RNA is filed under the name Ananas comosus (pineapple). Its description in RNAcentral is "long non-coding RNA (ACOM_LNC022856)". Lineage: Eukaryota; Viridiplantae; Streptophyta; Magnoliopsida; Poales; Bromeliaceae. The record is from RNAcentral.